GUUCUGCUGAAUGGCUGAUUCUUGUGGGAACCUAGAAGACCAGAGGCAGGUGGGCAUGUGGAUGGUGAAGACUGCUCAGCUCAUGAGGCUUUAGGUGGAAAUGAAGGUUGUACCAGGAGCUGGACUAGAGUCUGCUCAGGUUACAUUCUGGCAGAGAACUUGUCUACACUUUCUCUGUACCCUGAGACAUGGUGGGAAGCUGAAUCUGAAGCCGGCAGGUUAGUUAGCCCAGAGAACAUUUCAGAACAGCCCGGCAUGCGGCAUGUGGCGAGUGACAUGCCUUUCAGUGACUACCUUCAGCCACGUUUAAAGUGAGACUUAGGAGCCAACAGCUCAGAGCAGAACGGCAAGAUCUGAAAGCUUUGUAACUUGGUAAGGAAGGCUCUAUGAAGCUGGGACUAAGAAGGCCUGGUGACCGACUCCCUUUAAGCUGUUUUCCUAGGUGUUUGGUCACUACGACGUGAACCUCAACAACUCAAACGUGAGCCCUUGCUUUAAGAACCGGAUCCCUGGAUCUGUGCUUCAAAGCUUCCUGAGGACUGUCCAAUAGCAGCUGCCCACUUCACAGAUCUCCAAGUGACACUCAGAGAAGCAAUGACUUAAGCAAGCUCAAGAUCGGGCUCCAGAAUGGAUUCUAAAACCGCCAUCUCCACACUGAUCCUUUUCACGACAGCACUCACUCAUCAAGGCCUUCAAAACUAUCUUCUACAAACCAGCCUGAACUAGGCUGGGGACUCUGCUGUGUACAAGAGAGAUAACGUGUGCUGGGAAAAACAGACAGAAGCUAUCAUGGAGAAGGAAGUAGCAGAGUGUGUUGGUGAAGAAUGCUGCACUCUGAGAACAAAUUCCAACUCCAACACCCACCUACGAGCCGUGUGACCCAGGAAUAGUUACACAACAGUGCUCACGAAGGGGAUCUUGGGACCCUAGCUCCUCUUCUUCCCUAUGCCAUGAGGACAGCAGCUUUCUUUACGCCACUGCUUGCUCUCUCCCAUGACGUUCUGCCUCCUCACAGGCUCCAGAGCAACAGUUAACAUCCACAAAGUCAUGUCCCUGAACCGUGAAUCAAAGUUGCUUUUCUUGAGUGUGUUCUUAAAGAGACAGAAGGCUUAUGGCACAGCCACAUCCAGGUUCUGCACGGCCGGCCAGUGAACCAUCCCCUCUCCAAUGCCCCCGUGCCCACAGCUUUUCCAUUAGCCAAAGCAAAAGAGGUUGGCAGUGUGGCCUUUAAGACACCCCACUGGCACAUGUUCUUUCAAAAGCCCUCCGUGCCCAGACAUACUUUGCUUCUGCCUACAGCUACUUCCCCCUAGCCAACAGUCAUGGUGUCAAUGAGGAGGGAAUAGUCCCUCAGCCCCUCCCUGUUCAUGCCAACACACCCAGCCUCCUUUACCUAGGCCAUGUGUCACUCUAUCUCCCUUUUUACUUAAAAUCAGCGCAGCUUUAACGUCAGAAUUUCUCUUUAUUAAUAAACAGUAAUAGUUAAGA
Peromyscus eremicus (cactus mouse) is the source of this 1488-nucleotide long non-coding RNA. RefSeq lists it as uncharacterized. The transcript is spliced from 3 exons. NCBI's taxonomy places the organism in Eukaryota, Metazoa, Chordata, Mammalia, Rodentia, Cricetidae. The record is from RefSeq and is a predicted model, not a curated record.